Molecule: small nucleolar RNA, 90 nt
Filed under: Cucumis sativus (cucumber)
Lineage: Eukaryota; Viridiplantae; Streptophyta; Magnoliopsida; Cucurbitales; Cucurbitaceae
Description: Small nucleolar RNA U54
Rfam family: Small nucleolar RNA U54
About the family: U54 is a C/D box small nucleolar RNA, which acts as a methylation guide for 18S ribosomal RNA in plants.
Source: Rfam by way of RNAcentral
UGCUCUGUGAUUACAUGCCUUAAUAGGGCAAUAUACGCUAUUCUGAAGAUGAAAGUUUGUGUAGAUAUCUAUGGAAGCUAUAUGAGAGCU